GUGAGGAAUUUUCCGCAAUGGGCGAAAGCCUGACGGAGCAAUGCCGCGUGAAGGAUGAAGGCCUAUGGGUUGUAAACUUCUUUUCUCAGAAAAGAAUUAUGACGGUAUCUGAGGAAUAAGCAUCGGCUAACUCUGUGCCAGCAGCCGCGGUAAGACAGAGGAUGCAAGCGUUAUCCGGAAUGAUUGGGCGUAAAGCGUCUGUAGGUUGUUUAAAAAGUAUUCUGUCAAAGAUUAGGGCUUAACCCUAGAUAGGCAGAAUAAACUUUUAAGCUAGAGUUUGGUAGAGGCAGAGGGAAUUCCCGGUGGAGCGGUGAAAUGCGUAGAUAUCGGGAGGAACACCAAAGGCGAAGGCACUCUGCUGGGCCAAUACUAACACUGAGAGACGAAAGCUAGGGGAGCAAAUGGGAUUAGAUACCCGUGUAGUCC
RNAcentral lists this ribosomal RNA (426 nucleotides) under uncultured bacterium. RNAcentral describes it as "partial 16S ribosomal RNA". It matches the Rfam family "Bacterial small subunit ribosomal RNA", at positions 354 to 796 of the family's 1533-position model. The record is from RNAcentral.